UGCCUUUAUGUGUUGCCCAUUCAUUAUUUGGUAGAUGGAUGUGGUGUCAACAAAGGCAUACAUCAACACUUGAGACGGUUUUUUUUGAAGUCUCUUCCCCGUAGAUUCUUCACAAAGCCUAUAUCAAGGACACGA
Molecule: small nucleolar RNA, 135 nt
Organism: Chanos chanos (milkfish)
Lineage: Eukaryota; Metazoa; Chordata; Actinopteri; Gonorynchiformes; Chanidae
Product: small nucleolar RNA SNORA13
Exons: 1
Source: RefSeq, a predicted model, not a curated record